CGCCCAGGCAUUCCUCCUGCCAGGCCCUGUCGUGCCCCAUGCUCCCCGUCCCAAACGUGGAAAGCGCAGGUUGUCCUGCAAGAUCAGCUGAGGGCCUGAGGGCACCAUCACGUUGUUCAGCAGUGCCCAAAAGCCCAGCAGGGGCUGCCUUCGUUUUCUUGGCGGUGGAAGUUGUGUGGUGCCGGACCUGCGCUGCUCUGGGUUCGUAGAAUCGGAAUAUCCCGAGCUGGAAGGGACACGCAAGGAUCAUCGAGUCCAACACCUGGCUCCACACAGGUCUACCCAGAAAUUCAGACCAUAAGACUGAGAGCACAAUCCAAACGCUUCUUAAACUCCAGCAGGCUUGGUGCUGUGACUACGUCCCUGAGGAGCCUGUUCCAGUGUGCAACAACCUCCUUGGUGAAGAACCUUUUGCUGAUAUUCAGCCUGGACCUCCCCUGUCACAGCAUGACACCAUUCCCUCGGGUCUAUCGCUGGUCACCAGAGAGGAGAGAUCGGUGCCUGCCCUCCCUCAAAUAGGGGUUCUUGCAGAGUUUCAGUGAGAGCAACACAGCCCUGACCCCAUGGAGCUGCUUCUUGGUAUUCGGCACAAAAGUGGCAUCUGCAACCGGUUCUGCCCAUAACUGGAGGAACAGAGGGAAAAUCUUUUACUCAUCUUUACAAAGCCCCAAAAGAUAAGUUCUGCUAUGUAACGUCCAGGAUUGAGAAGCUUUCUACUGCCAGUAAGGUUGGAGAUGCUUACGCAACAUGUCUGGUGCACAGUGUCAUAGCAGCCCUGGGGCUCGUUAUGUGCCCACAUGGGAGUCUGUGUACAGUACAGACCUGGUGACUCCAUAGGAAAUGCUUUCUUGACGUCACACUAAUUCCCUGACCUUCCCCUCCACCCUCCGCUACUAUAUACAGUUGCUGGCUAUUUAUAUAUGAUGAAUAUGAUUCAGAAUUACACAUGCCAGAAAGACACUGAAUCUUUCAACCUAAUAAUUAAAAAAAGGGAUAUAGCAUGAUUGCUUUGUUCCAUCACCACAUGAAAGAGAACUAUUUAUUUUUGUUGUGGUUAGCUUAGUAGUAACAAACAAAAUAUUUUAUUCCUAUCCAUGAGAAGCAAUCUUGCCCAUCUUUAUGGGCUUCAUCCAAAGUGUGCUGGAGUCAGUAGCAGUAUGCAUGGGCUUGGAAUUAGCAUGUGACUGCAGAUCUAGAGAGCUGGAUCAGAGCAAGAGUGCUGCCAGACUACAGGGCUGAGCAUUGUACAAGACUUUGACACCCUGAGAGGGAAUAAUGCCUAUCUUUAAGUGGGGUCCAUGCAAUGCUUCAAGUCUUAGAAGGCAAACCCUCUGGUAUUGCAGCUGAAGCACUCUGUCAGGAGGCUGUUGCUGUGGCUGGACGUGUGGAGCAAGGAACAUUGUGAGAUUUUUGUGGUGUCAUUAGAUUACUGCUCAUGUGAAAUUGAGUGAUGGAUAGUUUACAUAGUCAGCCUUUUAGCAAAGUUCACCGGCAUGGCUCCAACUGUAUGUAUCGAGGCUAAUCUCAAUUACAAAUUGAAAAUGCCUCUGUCUUUGUCACUGCAGGGAUGGUCUGGAAAGUAUCGACUGAUUGCUACAGCUGAAAGCUUGUCAUGGUGAUCUUUAUCGCACCAAAGAUCACAGUGCACUCAGUGUACCAUGCAACUGUUCCACCCUGAUGGCUCUUUCAUUUUUCCUGGUUUUGCUGUUUGUCUAGGUCUUUCAUAUGAUAGUAAUCAAGGAAAAAAUGUAUUAAAAAACAAAUAUGAGGCUUGGAUUGUUUUAAACUGAGGUAAUAAUGAGGGAAUUUGGGAACAGUUGUACUGGCAUUCCUUUAAAAUCUUCCCACCUUCAACUUGGCUGGAAUUCAGGUAGAUGAUGAUAGUAGAAACCAAUACACAGAGGAAAAGUUUGUCAGAUCCAAUCAAGGAAGAUUUCAAAGAAAUGGCCAAGGAUUCUCAAUGCAAGGAAGAAGAAGAAACCAGCAAGGCCACUGAGGUGGGGAGAGGGCCAGUGGAGACAUGUAAUGAACGUCGAUAACUGCAUUUAGUUUCUUUGGCAAGUGUAAGAAAAUGACAUCAAUGGAUCAGAAUGGUUCCAUUUUUUUCCUCUGCCUUCCAAAAUGCGUACGUCCCAGAGAAGGGGUUUUAAUUUUGAAAGAGCCAGCCCAGUGGCUCCUGUGGCAGUAUAUAUUUACUUGGGACCUUCAGCUCAGGACAUCACAGCUGGAAGCACAGAAAUUCAGUUGUUCUACAGAUCCUGCAUCCCUUAUUCCAAGCACUUAUUUCAAGGCUUCUCACCCAACUUCUGUUUUUAGAGCAUGGAAAUGGAAGGAACAACGGCCAUGCAGAGAGUUCUCAUUCAGCUGACUUGUGUUCAUAUAAAUAUAGAUGUGAGUUGGCUGGUAGAUUGUCAAAAGUUAUUAUGUUAAUCUUGACUGAAAAUGGUCUUGAGGUUCAAAUACUGUAUUUGGACAGGAGGAGAGAGAUUUAUAAUCCAACCACAAAAAAGUAGCAUCUAUUUUGUGAAAGCAGGAAAAGAAAAGUGUCUAAAUUUGGCUCAGAUCCACAGGUUUUAUAAAAUCAUCAUUUGUAUCUGCUCAGCUGAAAUGGAUUACAUUUCAUCAGGUAACUUUCUAGCGAGUGUACCUAUCCUUCUCCAUGGCAGAAUGCAUCAACAAGUAAUUUUUGUUAUUACUGGCUAUUACAGUCUACUGUGGUGCUAGGCACAAAAGCUAUGUCUAGGCAGAGUUUCUCUUAUGAUUUUUCUUGUACAAGAAAAACGUGGAUCUGUAGCUUGAGAAGGGGAAAAGCCCAGAGAGCCCAGAGAAAGACAGAAGAAAUGGAGAAGAUAGAGGCUUGGAAGCAGAACCACUUAGAACUGACUAAACAGGGCAUUCAAACUGUGAGAGUUGUGGAAGUUUACAGAUACAUAAAGAUAUUAAGGAUUUAUGGAGUCAAGCUCUAAGAACUGCUAAAUGCCAGAUUCCAGACUGCAUGUGAAAUAUAAUUCCCUCUACAUAUGCAUUAUGUUC
Cygnus atratus (black swan) is the source of this 3033-nucleotide long non-coding RNA. RefSeq lists it as uncharacterized. The transcript has 6 exons. NCBI's taxonomy places the organism in Eukaryota, Metazoa, Chordata, Aves, Anseriformes, Anatidae. The record is from RefSeq and is a predicted model, not a curated record.